CCUACGGGGAGCUGCAGUGAGGAAUAUUGGUCAAUGGACGAGAGUCUGAACCAGCCAAGUAGCGUGAAGGAUGACUGCCCUAUGGGUUGUAAACUUCUUUUAUAAAGGAAUAAAACGAGGCACGUGUGCCUUUUUGCAUGUACUUUAUGAAUAAGGAUCGGCUAACUCCGUGCCAGCAGCCGCGGUAAUACGGAGGAUCCGAGCGUUAUCCGGAUUUAUUGGGUUUAAAGGGAGCGGAGAUGGGUUGUUAAGUCAGUUGUUAAAGUUUGCGGCUCAACCGUAAAAUUGCAAUUGAUUAUGGCAGUCUUGAGUACAGUUGAGGUAGGCGGAAUUCGUGGUGUAGCGGUGAAAUGCUUAGAUAUCACGAAGAACCCCGAUUGCGAAGGCAGCUUACUAAACUGUGACUGACAUUGAUGCUCGAAAGUGUGGGUAUCAAACAGGAUUAGAUACCCUAGUAGUC
Molecule: ribosomal RNA, 460 nt
Filed under: uncultured bacterium
Lineage: Bacteria
Description: partial 16S ribosomal RNA
Rfam family: Bacterial small subunit ribosomal RNA
Source: RNAcentral